ACAAUGAUUUAGACUUUGGUUGGAAUAAAGAUUUUACAUUUAGUGUCAGUGACAACUACAGUGCUUGAUAUAUAAAGCUGAUCUAUUAAUCAGAUCUAUGGAAACAGAUUAGAGGGUGACGUCUUCGACUGUGAAUUCAAAAAUGAGUUUGGAAAAAAUGAAAACUGAUGAACACUGACAGCGGAGAGCGGCGGGAGCCGGGCAGAAGUGAAGUCGGAGCCGAGAAGCAGUUGGGAAGAGUUCUGAGGGAGGUGGCUGAGGAAAUAGCGGAGGCUUUGGUCGUGAUCUUUCAAAAGUCACUGGAGUCAGGUGAAAGCUGGCACUAUGGCUACCAGCAACAUCAAUGCCCCAAGUAGCAAAUUGUACCAUUCUCCUAAACCCUGCAUUCCAGUUGGACCAGCUAUCACCCUCAUCUUGGGCUAAGGUGGAAGAAGAAGAUGAACAAGGGAAGGUAUGAGGAUCAGUAGUGUGGGAAGAGGACAGUGCUGGUUUCACUCUGAGACUUUGCAGGUUGUUCAAGGUGGCAGCAAGAGGAUGCUCAAGCUGUGGAGAGAUUCUUUUCUUAGGUUAAGGAAACAGUGCCUAUGGCUCAUGAAGUAACCAAGUGAUUUAUUCAGCAGUUCUCCAGAAACAUCUGGUUAUUUCCAGAUCAAAUUGCAGAGCUUCAUAAUACAGAGUGAGGGCAUUCAGCCCGUCAAGACUGCCAACUUUCUGCUGGAUUAAUUCAAAACUAAUCUCACUAUCACUCUAGUGUCCUGUAUCUUCCAUUUAAAAAAAAUAAAUUCUUUAAAGAUGCAAUGAUUCAACCCCAUGAUAUAAUAAUCUUCAUUUAAGAUAACAUGACAAAUGUUAGUAAAUUAUUGACAAAGUUAAAUUGAUAAUGCCUCAAUGAUUAAAAACAGUUCUUCCUUAUCCUUACCCUGCCUAAAGUCACAGUUUAAAAGCAAAUUCUCAAUUAAAUCUUUGUGGCAAAUCCCAAUUCUGUUUUGUUGGAAUCAGAACGAUUUCAUAUUCUGAAUCCUGAUCACUUUGAACAUUUGCAGUGUGUUAAGAUGCAACCGUAAAAGGUGGAGAAAAGCAGUAUGCACCAAAACAAUCAGAUACAGAAGACUGGCUCAGUGCUAACACCAAGUUUUGCCUCAUGCAACCAUGUUCUCUCCCUGCCCAUUCCAUCAACGAGCUGAGGAGCAGUCAACGGAAAGGAAAUAAAAACCAAAAGAACUGCAGAUGCUGUAA
Molecule: long non-coding RNA, 1236 nt
Organism: Stegostoma tigrinum
Lineage: Eukaryota; Metazoa; Chordata; Chondrichthyes; Orectolobiformes; Stegostomatidae
Exons: 5
Source: RefSeq, a predicted model, not a curated record